Molecule: long non-coding RNA, 4720 nt
Organism: Drosophila yakuba
Lineage: Eukaryota; Metazoa; Arthropoda; Insecta; Diptera; Drosophilidae
Exons: 2
Source: RefSeq, a predicted model, not a curated record
GACAUUUUAAUAAAAAUAUAAAGUUUAAAUUAAAAACUUUACCAGGAAUGUACAUUUCUAAUACUUCCAUGAAGGACAAAAUUAGAAGAUGUGCAGAAAGAAACCAGAGACGAAAAUAUAAAAGACGCAUACGAUUUUAAGUACAAACUACCUUUUUUUGAGGAUUAAGUUAUGUUUAAAAGCAUGGGUCCCAUUUGUGACGGCCGAGUUUACGUUUUAAGCAUGUCCAAUGCUUUAUUUUUUUGACGUAAAUUGUUGGGUUGGGUGUGUUGUAAUGGAUGAAGAUUGAUGACGCCGAUUGAUGAUCGUUAGUAUCCAUUUUAUUGGAGGGGUGGCUGCUGUUUCUUGUAGCUGUUCCGCGUGAUACCGUAUUGCUCAGCUACCUUUAUUGCCCAUAUCCUUGGUAAAAGUCACAGUCCUGAAUUUUGGAUCUACGUCACAUCCGAAGGCUACAACUUGUGUGAAUACACCCAAGCUCUUCAUUUGUGACCCCAUUGUCUGGCAGGAACAAUGGGCCUUGAAUAUCCCAAUACAUUGACUGUGGCGCUACUUUGGCAACAAAACAUUAACAAUGAGCAUCUAAUUUGAAUGCUAUUUUGUCUUUUGUUGUUAGAGAUUUAAUCAUCUCCUUCUAGCCAGGUUUGCAGCUUCCCGGCAGUUUCCAUCAUUAGAGCUGCCAUUGUUUACAUAAGCGCUUUAUUCGAAGGGCGAGUGAUGGGUGGUCAGAAGAUUGGAGCAGCUAACUACACAUGUGGAUUUCAUAAUAGCUUUUUUAAAACUGAGAUGAGAUGCCGUUGUCGACUGCUUUUACUACUUCGUAUUGGCUUGCCUGAAUUUUGUUGAAUAUUAAGAGAACCAUAAAAAAAUCCAACUCUUACAUUUUUUUAAAUACUAUUUUCAAUUCAAUUUCAAUUUCCCCAAAAUAUUUCGGAAUUUCCUGGUAAAAAGCAACAGUGCUGCGAGUUAUGAGGACGACAUGUGGAAUAACCAUGCGUAUGCUGUUUGCAGUGCGAACGCUAAAUAAUUCGUAAUUGAGUUGACGCCGACCCAGGAUGCAGGAUCCGGAAUAUACGAGGGCGUCGAAGGGCAGGGACAAAGUUACAAAUCGUUGUGCAAAGAAAGAAAAAACAAUUACCCAGCAAACGAUGGGCGGUCCAAGAUGAAAUACGGUUUUAUUAAAGAAGUGAAUGCUAUUUCCUGGUCCACGGUCCCUCCAUCGUUCCUCAUAUGCCGCGACCUUUGCUUUGACCAAGACAUUUGCACUUGACAUUAGCCGCGCGGGUGGGCCGAGGGUGGUUUUUAUAUAGGCUUGUAUUCGUAAUUAGAAUAAAACCAGAACUUGAGUGGCGGUCUUUGCAGCAACCACACUGCCUUCGCCACUUCUACUCAUAGUCGUCCCCAGAAAAAUACAAAUCAGUUAUUUGUAUUCUCAAACAAUUCAAUGACCCGCACGUGCAGUUGCAUCACCCUGCUCACAGAACGCUCCCUUUUCUAUGUGGUAUUUUAAGGGUCCAUCAAGAGAAGCGUUCAAGUUAUAUUCGCUUGCCUUUUUUUUAUUUAAAGUCUAUCGGCGAAAGUGUGGAAGAUUCACAGGUGUGUUCCCAUAUAAGAUAUGGCUAGCUCUGGUGGGAUAAGCCCUAAGGGAGUUCAUUCAAACAAAGAAAAAAGAAUUUCACAAAAAAAUAACAAAGAACUGUAGUAAAGGUAAGAUAAAACAAGAGAGAACGCUAUAGUUUCCUGACUAUCUGAUACCCGUUACUAAGCUAGGGAAAAUGCCAAGGAGACUCUUGAACAGUGACAGUUUAUGGCAGUUUGUGGUCGUGGUCAGAGUUUUUUGACAAAUCGGUAGAAAUUUACAAUACAAACAAAAAAGUUGAAAAAAUAUCAAAACAUGUUUCAAAAGUAUGGGCGUGGCAGUUUUGGGCGGUUUGUGGGCGUAAGAUUGUGCGCGGCAGCAUUCGGAAACAAUGUUGCGUCUCAAUCCUCAAGCCCAAUAUUAAGUUUCUAACUUUUUUAUAUGGUUGAAAACGCUUCUUCCUGCCUGUUACAUACUUUUCAACGAAUCUAGUAUACUCUUUUACUGUACGAGUAACGUUUAUAAAUAUUUAUAACUUGACUAAAAUUUAUUAGAAAAGAUACUGUUCGUACCAUAUACAUUUCUCGGAGUGCGUAUGUGAGGAAUAUGAGAUUGUGAAUUAGAUUACAAUUAUUUUUGGAUUAUUAUACUUUAACUCAAGAUGCUGCAAAAGACCAUUAUGUUGAUUUUAAUUAGGUGAUUUAUUAGAUUUAAUGGUAAGAGUAGAUUUUAAUGGUUACUUUACUUGAAAUAGCCAUUUGUAUUUAAUUAAUUAUAGAUCUUUCGGAUUAAUUUUAAAAUGAUUUCGGUAUCACCAAGUAAUACUACAUACUUACAAAUAAAAUAUGCAUGUACUCUUGUGCUCUUGUUUAAGUUUUUUGCGACUUUGGGCAAUAUACAUAAGUUUAAAGCAAGCUUGCGCUAAACAGUCUGCAUACCAAAUCUCAAGUUAGUUUGAGUUGAUUGUUUGAUUGGUCGUGGUAAUCUUUUAAAACAAAUGCUAUAGUUAAGCUUUUCAAUUAGCACAUACCCGUUACUCAGAUAAUAUGAGUUUCAAGCUCUUUUGUAACAAAGUAGGCAUACAUAUUUUGCUGGAGGUAUAACAUAGUCGGUACUUCUUCCAUCACCACCAGAAACAAAACAAACGUAGAUCAGCGACAGCAAUAAAACAGAAUCAGUUUAUUAUGAUAAUUGAGUUGCAUUUAAUUUGAAUUUCACGGCAUUUUAAUCGCAAAGAAAAAAAUAAUCCGAAUCAGAAUAAUUGCUUCUGCAUUACAUUUUAAUAUUUCAUAUCGCUCGUAUCGCAGUUCAUCUAAUGUCUGUGAGCCCGGAGCAAUUAUUAUUAAUUCUUUAAAGAAGUUAAAAUAUUUUAAAUAAGGCUAGUCAGCCACCCGUUGCGUCUAAUUUGUUUUCCCGUGAGGUUUGCUUUUAAAUAUUUAUUUUCAUCUUAUCCCAUCAAUGGAAAUAGGAUGGUUCCUUUUUAAAUGAGAAUGGUAUUGAUUUUCUGUUUGUGCCAUCUGAGAAAGGAAUUGUCUUGAGAAACCCCCCAAGAGCACUUGUACAACCUUCCCAUCAACAACAAUGCCGCAAGAUGUAGUCAUUCUCCAGAACUAAGGAGUCAGUCAAUGAAGCGAUGACACAGCGUGUCAUCUGUGUAAUUUGCAGCUCUAAUGCCCCAGCAUUCGUCCACUGUCACUACUGUUCGUAUACCUUGUGUUAUUGGAAUAUUAACGGUUUUUGUUACAGCUUUCGGCGACAGGAACAGCCGCUUGGGAAUUCGGAUUCGACAACUUCGCGGCUGAAUGUCUCAGCUGGUGGUUGCGGUAUUGUGGUUGCUUCAAUUUUUAUCAGAUUAAGCCUAGUGGCAGACGACACACGGAGCGUGCCAAUGAAUUUUAAUAGUAAUAGCUGAAGCUAUAGCCAUUUCAGUACCAAUCUAAAGAGAACAUUGCAUUUCGCAGGACUUGACAACUUGAUAUUUCGAAUCUAGUAGGUUCUACUCAAAAAGUAACAGAAAAUGAUAUCAAAGGGAAUUCGGAUUAUGCUUGCUUCGUUGCAGAGGGUAUAUGGAUUUCAGUAAGAUGUUUGCAACGCAGUAUCACAAUAACCAUCCGAGUUAAUAUAGCAAUGCCCUUAAAUAUACAUAUAUAAUUGCACAGAUACUUUUGUAUCCAGGUGAAAAGUUUUCUUCAUAUGACUACUCCUGAUGUCCUCUCGAUGUCCUGCACACGUGCUAACAGCACUUACUGGACACCAUGUUUUAACUAAUUGUGUACCACAAACACGCACUUCGCCACAGAUUUAUUUGCUAUUUCAGGAGUCAUUAGCUUCGUAAAGGGAGGGAAGUUAGACCUAUUUCAAGCACCCUCUUGCAUUAUUAGAAGAAAACGGGCUUUCUAAGGGAUUUAAAAGGGAUAAUGCAAACAAAUUUUGGGGAAGGAAGGUCUAGGUGGUUAAUUGUAGUUUUAAUAAUAAACAUUUUAAUAAUCCAAAUUCUUAUAACUUUUCCAUUAAAACUUUACUUAUUUAUAUAGGAUACAAAAGAAAUUUGCGAGUAAAGGCAAUUUAUGGGCUUAGGUCGUCUCCCGAGACUCAGAUGCUUUACUACCAUCACGCACCAUUUUCAUUUAUUUUUAUUUCUACCACUUUUCAACACUGUAGUUCAUUGGGAAAACAUCUAUAAAUAGCUACCGUUUCUAUGCCUAUAAAUGCAGAUUUCUUUUUGGAGGUCCGAUUUAACUAAUGAAGGUCCUUACCUUAUUAUUCGUUUUAUUUAUAGAUUUAAAAUUGUAAUCAUUUACAACAGUUACAUAAAGUGCAAACAGAAAUAAUAUAGGAUCAAAUUAAACUCCAUCUUCAUAUCUUUGUAGAAAAUAUAAAAUCAUAUUUCCACAUUUAAUAUGUUGCUUUUUGACAGCGUUGCCAGAUGAAAAUUUUCCUUUUUCUCCGAAUAAAAUUUUUAUACUCGAUAUACACUUUUUCCUUAAAUUAAAAAAAAUUAAGAUUGUGAAAUCAAUGUUUAAUGUAAUGUUAAUGUUAAUGUAAUUUUAUAUGUUUGUUAUUAUAAUUACAUAAUAUAUGGAUGUAUAUAUUACUACUAAGAAUCUAGAUCGAAUGUUAAUAUAUCACAACUUCAUUUAUGAA